This 654-nucleotide small RNA is filed under the name Pongo abelii (Sumatran orangutan). Its description in RNAcentral is "processed transcript". Lineage: Eukaryota; Metazoa; Chordata; Mammalia; Primates; Hominidae. The record is from RNAcentral.
CAUCUCGCCAAACAAAGUGCCCUACUAUAUCAAGAGCUGAUAGCCAGCAACCACACUUCAAGAAAUGGAAGACAGCUGUGAAUGCUUCAUUCAGGCCCAAGUAAAUAUAGGAAGAGGUGUAGUGGUGUAUAGCGUACUGAGUUUAAAGAAAAAACACUCUGAAAGUAAUGGGAAGAAGGAAGUUAUGAUAUAUUAGUCAGGCAGUAGAUAUACCUUAAGCUGAAAUGAAAUACAGGUAUCAUGGAUAUGAGAUCUGUAUAUGUAGAGGAAAGAGUAAUGGAAAAAUGUCAGGGGCAGUGAAAGCAAAUGAGAAGUGGGAUGAUUUAUAUUUAUUGAACUAAUGUCCGAUAUCUCUUUGACAGAGUUGAAUAAUCAUCAGUUGUCGGUGUCCUUUCUGUAGUGUUCCACAUUGGAUAGGUGAAGAAAUCCUGAUAGUCGAUUAUUGAUCACAUAACAAGGUCAAUUUAUCAUAACUGAAGCGCAAUCAAUUUGUGGGUGCAAAGAAGAAACAAAUUCUGGAACCGAAUAAUGUUUAUAUUGCUUUUCCCUUUGGAAACAAAGCAGAAAGGGGCCUUUCUGCUUGUAAGAUAAACAUUUCUUCAAUACACUAUGGAAGUGCUUUGAAAUAAAGAUUCCGAAUGGUUCAAAAGCAAA